GCGGCAGCCUAACACAUGCAAGUCUGAACGGUAACAGGAAGCAGCUUGCUGCUUCGCUGACGAGUGGCGGACGGGUGAGUAAUGUCUGGGAAACUGCCUGAUGGAGGGGGAUAACUACUGGAAACGGUGGCUAAUACCGCAUAACGUCGCAAGACCAAAGAGGGGGACCUUCGGGCCUCUUGCCAUCAGAUGUGCCCAGAUGGGAUUAGCUUGUUGGUGAGGUAACGGCUCACCAAGGCGACGAUCCCUAGCUGGUCUGAGAGGAUGACCAGCCACACUGGAACUGAGACACGGUCCAGACUCCUACGGGAGGCAGCAGUGGGGAAUAUUGCACAAUGGGCGCAAGCCUGAUGCAGCCAUGCCGCGUGUAUGAAGAAGGCCUUCGGGUUGUAAAGUACUUUCAGCGGGGAGGAAGGUGUUGUGGUUAAUAACCGCAGCAAUUGACGUUACCCGCAGAAGAAGCACCGGCUAACUCCGUGCCAGCAGCCGCGGUAAUACGGAGGGUGCAAGCGUUAAUCGGAAUUACUGGGCGUAAAGCGCACGCAGGCGGUCUGUCAAGUCGGAUGUGAAAUCCCCGGGCUCAACCUGGGAACUGCAUUCGAAACUGGCAGGCUUGAGUCUUGUAGAGGGGGGUAGAAUUCCAGGUGUAGCGGUGAAUUUUUAAAAAUAUAAAAAAAAAAAAAAUUCUUUUUUUUGGG
This 698-nucleotide ribosomal RNA is filed under the name Salmonella enterica subsp. enterica serovar Typhimurium. Its description in RNAcentral is "partial 16S ribosomal RNA". It matches the Rfam family "Bacterial small subunit ribosomal RNA", at positions 39 to 723 of the family's 1533-position model. The record is from RNAcentral. Lineage: Bacteria; Pseudomonadati; Pseudomonadota; Gammaproteobacteria; Enterobacterales; Enterobacteriaceae.